AUGAGUGGCGAACGGGUGAGUAACACGUGAGUAACCUGCCCUCUUCUUUGGGAUAACGCCCGGAAACGGGUGCUAAUACUGAUAUUCACUGGCCUUCGCAUGGGGGUUGGUGGAAAGGUUUUUUCUGGUGGGGGAUGGGCUCGCGGCCUAUCAGCUUGUUGGUGGGGUGAUGGCCUACCAAGGCUUUGACGGGUAGCCGGCCUGAGAGGGUGACCGGUCACAUUGGGACUGAGAUACGGCCCAGACUCCUACGGGAGGCAGCAGUGGGGAAUAUUGCACAAUGGGCGAAAGCCUGAUGCAGCGACGCCGCGUGAGGGAUGGAGGCCUUCGGGUUGUAAACCUCUUUCGCUCAUGGUCAAGCCGCAACACUUGGUUGUGGUGAGGGUAGUGGGUAAAGAAGCGCCGGCUAACUACGUGCCAGCAGCCGCGGUAAUACGUAGGGCGCGAGCGUUGUCCGGAAUUAUUGGGCGUAAAGGGCUUGUAGGCGGUUGGUCGCGUCUGCCGUGAAAUCCUCUGGCUUAACUGGGGGCGUGCGGUGGGUACGGGCUGACUUGAGUGCGGUAGGGGAGACUGGAACUCCUGGUGUAGCGGUGGAAUGCGCA
This 602-nucleotide ribosomal RNA is filed under the name uncultured Actinomycetes bacterium. Its description in RNAcentral is "bacterial SSU rRNA". It matches the Rfam family "Bacterial small subunit ribosomal RNA", at positions 91 to 692 of the family's 1533-position model. The record is from RNAcentral. Lineage: Bacteria; Bacillati; Actinomycetota; Actinomycetes.